This 644-nucleotide long non-coding RNA is filed under the name Cavia porcellus (domestic guinea pig). RNAcentral describes it as "lncRNA (ENSCPOG00000036290.1)". The record is from RNAcentral. Lineage: Eukaryota; Metazoa; Chordata; Mammalia; Rodentia; Caviidae.
CACAGGAAUUCUCUCAAUUAUGAAACCUUGCAGAGAAGUUACUUUCUUUUUCAAAAUUCAGGUGGUGACAUUGCUUACUCCAGAUCAGACACUUUUUCAUCAUCACUGUCUUGUGAACCGUCAUCUGCUCCAUCUACCUUUGAUAUCAAUCCUCUAUCUGGAGAACAUGUGGGGUCUAGUAAGAGACAAGCCAGGUCUCCUUUACUGUGAGCCAACUGAUGCACUGGCUGAGAAUCAAGAACACCCCUCCCCAUCAACACUACCUCCACGAGCAACUGGCUGGUUCAGAGGACAGGCUGAGUUCACAGCAACUGAGAUAAAACAAAACAAAACAACUAAAUGCUUGUGUUGUUUGAUUGACUUUGCAGGCCUAAGGCUGAUAGUCUGAGCAUCUAUUGGGAGGAGGACAGUAUGCAAUAUAGCAAAUAUGGGGGAUUUCCUUCCGUUUUGUUUUUGAAAUUCACUGAUUUAUUUUUUGUUUUGUUUGUUUCAAUUUUUUGAGACAGAGCCUUGCUCUACAUUUCAGGGUGGCCUUGAACACACAAAGUAGCCAAGGAUAGUCUAGAACUCAUUCCAAUCCUUCUUCCUCAGACUCCCAAGUACUGGAAUUACAGGCAUGAGCCACCACGCUAGCAUCCAGUGAC